This 363-nucleotide small RNA is filed under the name Pongo abelii (Sumatran orangutan). Its description in RNAcentral is "processed transcript". The record is from RNAcentral. Lineage: Eukaryota; Metazoa; Chordata; Mammalia; Primates; Hominidae.
CGUUUUCUGGUCUGGAAAUCUAUAUGGAAUCAUAGAUUCUGGUUAUGUUGUACUUCAGUAACCCUGAAACAUAGAAUUCUAUGAAAAGAAGUAAGUUAGUGUACACUGCUGGUACUUAGCUAGGUUAUGGUAAAUUGUAUUUUUGUUGUUGUUGUUGAGACAGAGUCUCACUCUGACACCCAGGCUGGAGUUGCAGUGAGCCGAGAUCAUGCCACUGCAUUCCAGUCUGGUCAACAGAGUGAGACUCCAUCACAAAAAAAAAAAAAAAAGAAAAAAGAAAUGACAUAAAACUGAAGUAUUAAGGGAGUGAUGCUACCUCAGUGUCCUGUGGCAAGUUAAUAAAACCAGGUGAUAAAACAACUA